RNAcentral lists this long non-coding RNA (753 nucleotides) under Nicotiana benthamiana. RNAcentral's name for it is "long non-coding RNA (NBEN_LNC016111)". The record is from RNAcentral. Lineage: Eukaryota; Viridiplantae; Streptophyta; Magnoliopsida; Solanales; Solanaceae.
CAGCCUUAGGCAUGGCUAUAUAAGAUCUAUUUCCAUUCAUUGUAGAGGAAGAAGGAGAAGUACUGAAAAUACAAAAAAAAAAUUGAAACGGUUAAGGAAUUGUGAAGAAACAAAAUCUGAAAUUCUUGUAUUCCAUUAUGGAAGAACUCCCAAAUUCUGUUCAUUUGGGUCUCUGAUUUCUGUUAUAUUAGAAAAUCCUCUAAAAUUUCAUUUGAGAAAUGGUUUGAACAUAGCUUGAGGAUUAAGUGAUGGUUUUUUCUGUUCCUCUACUGCUCCAUUGCUGGUCUUGAAAUUGUUCUCUACUGUUGUUCCAUCUCACUGUGUUAUUGCUGCUGCUUCUGUUUGCUCCCAACUCAUUUUUCUUUUUUGUUUUGCUGUUGUAACUAGAUAUUCCUCAUCACUUUGACAUGUAAAAUGGAAGAACAUGAAGUUAUUUCAUGAGUUUGCAAUCUAUGUCAUAUUAGUUAGUUAAAUGUGGCUUCUUAUACAUCUGAAAGUCAUUAGACUCUAUAAUUAGCUUGGUUUUGUUUGUUACAUUUGAUCUUUUCUGUUUUAGAUUUAAUUGGGAUUUGUAAUGAUAGAUAACUUAUAUAGUUUAGCCAAUUAGUUGAUGAAUUUGAGUUUUCUGUUUGUACAAAGGGACUAUUGAGGUUACUGCAGCAAAAGGUUCAGACAUGUUUUUGUUUUGUUGAUACCAAAGUGUUUGGUGUUGAUCUUUGCCUGAAUUUGCUAACUACCAAGCAUUGGUUGGAG